CAGCCGCCGCGGUAAAACGAAGGGGGCUAGCGUUGCUCGGAAUGACUGGGCGUAAAGGGCGCGUAGGCGGUUUUGACAGUCAGAUGUGAAAUUCCUGGGCUUAACCUGGGGGCUGCAUUUGAGACGUCAAGACUAGAGUGUGAGAGAGGGUUGUGGAAUUCCCAGUGUAGAGGUGAAAUUCGUAGAUAUUGGGAAGAACACCGGUGGCGAAGGCGGCAACCUGGCUCAUUACUGACGCUGAGGCGCGAAAGCGUGGGGAGCAAACAGGAUUAGAUACCCGCGUAGUCCCUGUCUCUUAUAC
This 301-nucleotide ribosomal RNA is filed under the name uncultured bacterium. RNAcentral describes it as "partial 16S ribosomal RNA". It matches the Rfam family "Bacterial small subunit ribosomal RNA", at positions 509 to 807 of the family's 1533-position model. The record is from RNAcentral.